This 832-nucleotide long non-coding RNA is filed under the name Homo sapiens (human). RNAcentral's name for it is "HSALNT0111722". The record is from RNAcentral. Lineage: Eukaryota; Metazoa; Chordata; Mammalia; Primates; Hominidae.
CACAGGAUGUGACUUUGCAGACCAGAAAUGUGUUUUUCUUCAGUUCCUAACAAAUCAAAGCUCUCCUCUUUAAAAAGCUAGACUUUAGCUUAGUAUCUGAUGGGUGUAUCUGCUCUUCUCAACAGAAUAUGCUGACACUUCUGUCAAAGCAUUUUUCACAAAGGCCAAGAUAUGGAAUCAACCUGAGUGUCCACAGACAGAUGAAUGGAUAAAAGGAGGAAAUCCUGCCAUUUGCAACAACAUUGAUAAAACUGGAGGACAUUAUGCUGAAUGAAAUAAGCCAGGCCCAGAAAGGCAAAUCUUGCAUGAUCUCAUUUGCAUGUGGAAUUUUGAAACGUCAGAGUCAUCAAAACAGAGUAGAAUGGUGAUUGCUAGAGGCUAGGGAUUGGGAGAAAUGGGGAGAUGUUGGUCAAAGUGUAAAAAGUGUCAGUUAUGCAGAAUAAGUAUGUUCAGGAGAUCUGAUGUACAGCAUGGUAACUAUAGUUAAUAAUACUGUAUUUUAUUUACUUGAGAUUUGCUGAGAGAGUAGAUCUUGUGUUCUCACAACAACAAAAAAAGUGGUAACUAUGUGAAGUGAAGAAUAUGUUAAUUAGCUUGAUUGUCAUAAUCACUUUACAGUGUAUGUGUUUAUCAAAAUAUCAUAUUUAAUACAGUACAUACAUUCAUUUCUGUCAAUUAUGCCUUAAUAAAUCUGGAAAAUUUUAAAAAACAGAGGCAGAAAGGUAGAGGCCUCUAAUUUUAAAAACAUAAUAUUAAUUGAAGAUGAAAACAGGUGUAAAGGAGGCAAUGAAUUCAAAAGCAGAGAGAACUCGGGAGUGAAAGCAGGGUAAUA